This 490-nucleotide ribosomal RNA is filed under the name uncultured bacterium. Its description in RNAcentral is "partial 16S ribosomal RNA". It matches the Rfam family "Bacterial small subunit ribosomal RNA", at positions 30 to 507 of the family's 1533-position model. The record is from RNAcentral.
AUUGAACGCUGGCGGCAGGCCUAACACAUGCAAGUCGAACGGUAACAGGAAGAAGCUUGCUUCUUUGCUGACGAGUGGCGGACGGGUGAGCAAUGUCUGGGAAACUGCCUGAUGGAGGGGGAUAACUACUGGAAACGGUUGCUAAUACCGCAUAACGUCGCAAGACCAAAAAGGGGGACCUUCGGGCCUCUUGCCAUCGGAUGUGCCCAGAUGGGUGUAGCUAGUAGGUGGGGUAACGGCUCACCCAGGCGACGAACCCUAGCUGGUCUGAGAGGAUGAGCAGACACACUGUAACUGAGACACGGUCCACACUCCUACGGGGGGCAGCGGUGGGGAAUAUUGCGCAAUGGGGGCGAGCGUGAUGCAGCCCUACCGCGUGUAUGAAGAAGGCCUUCGGGUUGUAAAGUACUUUCAGCGGGGAGGAAGGGAAGAAAGUUAAUACCUUUGCUUAUUGACGUUACCCGCAGAAGAAGCACCGGCUAACUCCGUG